AGGACGAACGCUGGCGGCGUGCUUAACACAUGCAAGUCGAGCGGUGAUCCUCCUUCGGGAGGUGAUCAGCGGCGAACGGGUGAGUAACACGUGGGCAACCUGCCCCUCACACUGGGAUAACCUCGGGAAACCGGGCUAAUACCGGAUACGACCUCGAGCGGCAUCUCUUGAGGUGGAAAGCUCCGACGGUGAGGGAUGGGCCCGCGGCCUAUCAGCUUGGUUGGUGGGGUAAUGGCCUACCGAAGGCGACGACGGGUA
RNAcentral lists this ribosomal RNA (258 nucleotides) under uncultured bacterium. RNAcentral describes it as "partial small subunit ribosomal RNA". It matches the Rfam family "Bacterial small subunit ribosomal RNA", at positions 26 to 285 of the family's 1533-position model. The record is from RNAcentral.